RNAcentral lists this ribosomal RNA (492 nucleotides) under uncultured bacterium. Its description in RNAcentral is "partial 16S ribosomal RNA". It matches the Rfam family "Bacterial small subunit ribosomal RNA", at positions 29 to 507 of the family's 1533-position model. The record is from RNAcentral.
AGUGAACGCUGGCGGUAGGCCUAACACAUGCAAGUCGAACGGCAGCACAGUAAGAGCUUGCUCUUACGGGUGGCGAGUGGCGGACGGGUGAGGAAUACAUCGGAAUCUACUUUUUCGUGGGGGAUAACGUAGGGAAACUUACGCUAAUACCGCAUACGACCUACGGGUGAAAGCAGAGGAUCUUCAGACCUUGCGCGACUGAAUGAGCCGGUGUCGGAUUAGCUAGUUGGCGGGGUAAAGGCCCACCAAGGCGACGAUCCGUAGCAGGUCUGAGAGGAUGAUCAGCCACACUGGAACUGAGACACGGUCCAGACUCCUACGGGAGGCAGCAGUAGGGAAUAUUCGACAAUGGGCGAAAGCCUGAUCCAGCCACGCCGCGUGAGUGAUGAAGGCCUUCGGGUUGUAAAGCUCUUUUAUUGGGAAAGAAAAGCAGUAUGUUAAUACCCCGCUGUUCUGACGGUACCCAAAGAAUAAGCACCGGCUAACUUCGUG